GCGACUAUGAUCCAGUCUGGUUAAGAUCCGAGCUUCCCAAGCUCGUUACGCGGGUUCAAAUCCCGCUGGUCGCA
This 74-nucleotide transfer RNA is filed under the name Candidatus Aenigmatarchaeota archaeon. RNAcentral's name for it is "tRNA-Gly". It matches the Rfam family "tRNA". Rfam says of the family: Transfer RNA (tRNA) molecules are approximately 80 nucleotides in length. Their secondary structure includes four short double-helical elements and three loops (D, anti-codon, and T loops). Lineage: Archaea; Nanobdellati; Candidatus Aenigmatarchaeota. The record is from RNAcentral.